Molecule: ribosomal RNA, 253 nt
Filed under: uncultured bacterium
Lineage: Bacteria
Description: partial 16S ribosomal RNA
Rfam family: Bacterial small subunit ribosomal RNA
Source: RNAcentral
UACGUAGGGGGCAAGCGUUGUCCGGAAUCAUUGGGCGUAAAGAGCGUGUAGGCGGCCCGAUAAGUCCGCUGUGAAAGUCCAGGGCUCAACCCUGGAAUGCCGGUGGAUACUGUCGGGCUCGAAUCCGGAAGAGGUGAGUGGAAUUCCUGGUGUGGCGGUGAAAUGCGCAGAUAUCAGGAGGAACACCAAUGGCGAAGGCAGCUCACUGGGACGGUAUUGACGCUGAGACGCGAAAGCGUGGGGAGCAAACAGG